AUGUAGCUCAGUGGUAGAGUUUGUGCUUAGCAUGCACCAGGUCCUGGGUUUGAUCCCCAGCAU
RNAcentral lists this transfer RNA (63 nucleotides) under Dipodomys ordii (Ord's kangaroo rat). It matches the Rfam family "tRNA", at positions 5 to 66 of the family's 71-position model. From Rfam's summary of the family: Transfer RNA (tRNA) molecules are approximately 80 nucleotides in length. Their secondary structure includes four short double-helical elements and three loops (D, anti-codon, and T loops). Further hydrogen bonds mediate the characteristic L-shaped molecular structure. tRNAs have two regions of fundamental functional importance: the anti-codon, which is responsible for specific mRNA codon recognition, and the 3' end, to which the tRNAs corresponding amino acid is attached (by aminoacyl-tRNA synthetases). tRNAs cope with the degeneracy of the genetic code in two manners: having more than one tRNA (with a specific anti-codon) for a particular amino acid; and 'wobble' base-pairing, i.e. permitting non-standard base-pairing at the 3rd anti-codon position. The record is from Rfam by way of RNAcentral. Lineage: Eukaryota; Metazoa; Chordata; Mammalia; Rodentia; Heteromyidae.